AACGAACGCUGGCGGCAUGCCUAACACAUGCAAGUCGAACGGGCCCUUCGGGCGUAGUGGCGCACGGUGAGUAACACGUGGGUGACCUGCCCUCAGCUCUGGGAUAAGCCUGGGAAACCGGGUCUAAUACUGGAUAUGACUCCAUGACGCAUGUUGUGGGGUGGAAAGCCUUGUGCGGCUGAGGACGGGCCCGCGGCCUAUCAGCUUGUU
This 210-nucleotide ribosomal RNA is filed under the name uncultured bacterium. RNAcentral describes it as "partial 16S ribosomal RNA". It matches the Rfam family "Bacterial small subunit ribosomal RNA", at positions 29 to 250 of the family's 1533-position model. The record is from RNAcentral.